This 235-nucleotide ribosomal RNA is filed under the name uncultured bacterium. Its description in RNAcentral is "partial 16S ribosomal RNA". It matches the Rfam family "Bacterial small subunit ribosomal RNA", at positions 99 to 334 of the family's 1533-position model. The record is from RNAcentral.
CGGACGGGUGAGUAACGCGUGGGUAACCUGCCUUAUACAGGGGGAUAACAACCAGAAAUGGUUGCUAAUACCGCAUAAGCGCACGGCAUCGCAUGAUGCAGUGUGAAAAACUCCGGUGGUAUAAGAUGGACCCGCGUUGGAUUAGCUAGUUGGUGAGGUAACGGCCCACCAAGGCGACGAUCCAUAGCCGACCUGAGAGGGUGACCGGCCACAUUGGGACUGAGACACGGCCCAA